GCAGCAGGCCGGCCUGUCGCUCAUCCGGUGUGAAUGAGAGGAAAGUCCGGGCAACACAGGGCGCCAUUCUUCCUAACGGGAAGCUAUCCGCGAGGGUAGAGCAACGUAACAGAAAAUAACCGCCGUGCGCAGGCACGGUAAGGGUGAAAAGGUGAGGUAAGAGCUUACCGCUCCUGCCGUAAUGCAGGGGGACGGUACGUCUAAUGGGUUGUAAGGUCAUGUAUACCGACGCAGUAGGGCGGCUCGCCCGAUGUCGGGGGGUAGACUGCACGGAAUUUGCCGGCGACGGCAAAUCAAGAUAAAUGACAGGCGCAUCCGCGUAAUAAAUAACAGGAUGUACAGAACCCGGCUUACAGGCCUGCUGCUUUU
RNAcentral lists this RNase P RNA (369 nucleotides) under Tannerella sp. RNAcentral describes it as "RNase P RNA component class A". It matches the Rfam family "Bacterial RNase P class A". From Rfam's summary of the family: Ribonuclease P (RNase P) is a ubiquitous endoribonuclease, found in archaea, bacteria and eukarya as well as chloroplasts and mitochondria. Its best characterised activity is the generation of mature 5'-ends of tRNAs by cleaving the 5'-leader elements of precursor-tRNAs. Lineage: Bacteria; Pseudomonadati; Bacteroidota; Bacteroidia; Bacteroidales; Tannerellaceae. The record is from RNAcentral.